GUAGCGACUCAAGUAGCGCAGCCCUGACAUGAUGAAGUGAAUGGCACAACAGAGCAAGUUUCAGCAUGGAUUUGGGCAAGCAGUAAUUGAUGACCUGUGUUAUGAUGACAUUCACAUUUCUCUUGUGACCUGAAAAUGUUCCUCUUCACCUGUCAACCCCAGAUUUGAUGCCAUAAUUUGUGAAUAUAGUGGGAGAGAAGCACUCCUUGUGCUCCUUCUGAAUAGGGUCUGUGAGUCGGCAGCAAUUCCACUGGUUCUGACCCUGGAACUUUAGCCUAUGAUCCACCACUCAAGGCCCUCCAGCUGCAUCGAUCUUCUCUUACAAGGUCCAGAUGGAGCCAUCAGGUUUGAUGAUGUAAGGACUGGUCUUGCUGCUCAAUACCUUCAAAGAAGUAAGGUUCCCAGCACUCGGAUGCCACCAUAGAGAAGAUCCAGUAAUCCAGCAGGGUCUGCUGGCCGCUGACCAUUCGGUGUUCCUCCUGGCU
Diceros bicornis minor is the source of this 485-nucleotide long non-coding RNA. RefSeq lists it as uncharacterized. The transcript has 3 exons. Lineage: Eukaryota; Metazoa; Chordata; Mammalia; Perissodactyla; Rhinocerotidae. The record is from RefSeq and is a predicted model, not a curated record.